UUGGUUCAGCAAUGUUCCAUUUAUGGUUAGUUCAGAUUCCAGUAUCCAAUUUCUACACUAAUUUCCCAAAACAAAAUUAUGCCAUCCUAAACCAUUAGUUUGACAUUUUAAAUAGGGGGAAGAAAUUAAUAUAAAAAUGUUAAAUCCAUCAUGAAAAUUGAUAAUCCCUUUAUUUAUGUACAUACAAGGUUCUAGAAAUGCAUAUCUGAAUUUGAAAGCAACACCUCUGAGGUUCACAUUUUUCUUUUAAGAGAAAAAAAAGCCACUAACAUAUACUCCUCUAAAUCCAAUAAUCAAUAAGGAAAAUAAAAUUAAAAAUCGAGACAGAGAGAGAGAAAUGUACCAGCCUUGGAAGAAGGAAGUAAAACCGGGGUUAUCAUGGUGGCAGUGGUAAUGCGAAGGAGGUGGCGGAGGGUACUCUUGAUUGAAAUAGCUUUGGUAACCUUGGUACUGCGGAGGCGGUGGCGAGAACGGUGCAUAUCCCGGCGGCGCCGGCACCGACGCUAUGGGUAACUCAGUGGCGGAUAAGGACGGGUGUAGCCUGUGUUGAUUAAAUUGAAAGAGAAUUAGCAGAACAAUUGAGGCAAAAAAGAGUGUUUAAUUUAAUUUAAUUCAUUUGCUUAAUUGAAUAAUUUACCCGGGGGAGGAUAAUAAGGGUCUCUCAGGUAAUUACUCAUUGUGUGGGGAAUUGCAAUGAAGGACACUUUUUUU
This 711-nucleotide long non-coding RNA is filed under the name Phaseolus vulgaris (common bean). RNAcentral's name for it is "long non-coding RNA (PVUL_LNC004952)". The record is from RNAcentral. Lineage: Eukaryota; Viridiplantae; Streptophyta; Magnoliopsida; Fabales; Fabaceae.